UGAGGAAUAUUGGUCAAUGGGCGAGAGCCUGAACCAGCCAAAUCGCGUGAAGGAAGACUGCCUUAUGGGUUGUAAACUUCUUUUAUACAGGAAUAAAAAAGGGGACGUGUCCCUUAUUGCAUGUACUGUAUGAAUAAGCAUCGGCUAACUCCGUGCCAGCAGCCGCGGUAAUACGGAGGAUGCGAGCGUUAUCCGGAUUUAUUGGGUUUAAAGGGUGCGCAGGCGGGCUUUUAAGUCAGCGGUGAAAUCUCGGGGCUUAACCCCGAAACUGCCGUUGAAACUGGGAGUCUUGAGUAUGGAUGAAGUAGGCGGAAUUCGUUGUGUAGCGGUGACAUGCUUAGAUAUAACGAGGAACUCCGAUUGCGUAGGCAGCUUACUAAGCCAUAACUGACGCUCAAGCACGAAAGCGUGGGGAUCAAACAGGAUUAGAUACCCUGGUAGUCCACGCCGUAAACGAUGAUUACUAGUUGUAUGCGAUAUACCGUAUGUGACUAAGCGAAAGCGAUAAGUAAUCCACCUGGGGAGUACGCCGGCAACGGUGAAACUCAAAGGAAUUGACGGGGUCAUAGCUGUUUCCUG
RNAcentral lists this ribosomal RNA (579 nucleotides) under uncultured bacterium. RNAcentral describes it as "partial 16S ribosomal RNA". It matches the Rfam family "Bacterial small subunit ribosomal RNA", at positions 355 to 1376 of the family's 1533-position model. The record is from RNAcentral.